Molecule: unclassified non-coding RNA, 343 nt
Filed under: soil metagenome
Description: partial contains 5.8S ribosomal RNA, internal transcribed spacer 2, and large subunit ribosomal RNA
Rfam family: 5.8S ribosomal RNA (bases 1-120)
Source: RNAcentral
GAUGAAGAACGUAGCGAAAUGCGAUAAGUAAUGUGAAUUGCAGAAUUCAGUGAAUCAUCGAAUCUUUGAACGCACAUUGCGCCCGCUAGUAUUCUGGCGGGCAUGCCUGUCCGAGCGUCAUUUCAACCCUCAAGCCCCCGGGCUUGGUGUUGGGGAUCGGCGAGCCUCCGCGCCCGCCGUCCCCUAAAUCUAGUGGCGGUCUCGCUGUAGCUUCCUCUGCGUAGUAGCACACCUCGCACUGGGAAACAGCGCGGCCACGCCGUUAAACCCCCAACUUCUGAACGUUUGACCUCGGAUCAGGUAGGAAUACCCGCUGAACUUAAGCAUAUCAAUAUGCGGAGGA